RNAcentral lists this ribosomal RNA (397 nucleotides) under uncultured bacterium. RNAcentral's name for it is "bacterial SSU rRNA". It matches the Rfam family "Bacterial small subunit ribosomal RNA", at positions 28 to 429 of the family's 1533-position model. The record is from RNAcentral.
GACGAACGCUGGCGGCGUGCUUAACACAUGCAAGUCGAGCGGUAAGGCCCUUUCGGGGGUACACGAGCGGCGAACGGGUGAGUAACACGUGGGUGACCUGCCCUUAGCUCUGGGAUAAGCCUGGGAAACUGGGUCUAAUACCGGAUAUGACUCCAUGACGCAUGUUGUGGGGUGGAAAGCCUUGUGCGGCUAGGGAUGGGCCCGCGGCCUAUCAGCUUGUUGGUGGGGUGAUGGCCCACCAAGGCGACGACGGGUAGCCGGCCUGAGAGGGCGACCGGCCACACUGGGACUGAGACACGGCCCAGACUCCUACGGGAGGCAGCAGUGGGGAAUCUUGCGCAAUGGGCGAAAGCCUGACGCAGCGACGCCGCGUGGGGAUGACGGCCUCGGUUGUAAC